ACGGGGUGCAGCAGGCGCGAAACCUCUACAAUGCGCGAAAGCGUGAUAGGGGAACUCCAAGUGCUUGGCUUUGCUAAGCUUUUCUGAAGUGUAAACAACUUCAGGAAUAAGGGCUGGGUAAGACCCGUGCCAGCCGCCGCGGUAAUACGGGCAGCUCGAAUGGUGUUCACGUAUAUUGGGCCUAAAGCGUUCGUAGCCUGUCUCAACAGUCUUUGGUGAAAGCUUGUGACUUAAUCAUGAGAGUUGCCAAAGAUACUAUGAGACUUGGAGCCGGGAUGGGUCAGAGGUAUUCUAGGGGUAGGAGUAAAAUCCUGUAAUCCUUAGAGGACCAACGGUGGCGAAGGCGUCUGACUGGAACGGGCUCGACGGUGAGGAACGAAAGCUAGGGGAGCGACGCGGAUUAGAUACCCGCUUAGUCCUAGCCGUAAAUGAUGCCGGUUUGGUGUAACGUAACUUACGAGGUUGCGUUGUGCCGUAGGGAAGCCGUUAAACCGGCCGCCUGGGAGUAUGCCGCAAGGC
Molecule: ribosomal RNA, 519 nt
Filed under: uncultured archaeon
Lineage: Archaea
Description: bacterial SSU rRNA
Rfam family: Archaeal small subunit ribosomal RNA
Source: RNAcentral